Molecule: small RNA, 18 nt
Filed under: Arabidopsis thaliana (thale cress)
Lineage: Eukaryota; Viridiplantae; Streptophyta; Magnoliopsida; Brassicales; Brassicaceae
Description: Ath_wt_07688
Source: RNAcentral
CGUUCGAAUUGUAGUCUG